GCUUCCGGCCGCGCGUUAGGUCGUGGGGCACCUAGGUCUGGGUCGUCGUUUGCGUCUGCACGUGUUCGCAGUCGUUUCCGCGAUGCUUCCUUUGCUGCGCUGUGUGUCCCGUGUGCUGGGCUCCUCCGUCGCCCGCCUCCGCGCUGCCGCGCCCGCCUCGCCUUUCCGGCAGCUCCUGCAGCCGGCGCCCCGGCUGUGCGCCCGGCCCUUCGGGCUGCUCAGCGUGCGCGCAGGUUCCGAGCGGCGGCCGGGCCUCCUGCGGCCUCGCGGACCCUGCGCCUGUGGCUGUGGCUGCGGCUUGCUGCACACCGAAGGAGACAAAGCUUUUGUUGAUUUCCUGAGUGAUGAAAUUAAGGAGGAAAGAAAAAUCCAGAAGCAUAAAACCCUCCCUAAGAUGUCUGGAGGUUGGGAGCUGGAACUGAAUGGGACAGAAGCGAAAUUAGUGCGGAAAGUUGCCGGGGAAAAAAUCACUGUCACUUUCAACAUUAACAACAGCAUCCCACCAACAUUUGAUGGUGAGGAGGAACCCUCGCAAGGGCAGAAGGUUGAAGAACAGGAGGUAAGCUUAACACUCAGCUUUUACCUCAGUUCUGACAGGCUGUCCCUGGGGCUUAUAGGAAGAAGCAUUUUUCUUUGCUCUUUCAAAAAAAAAAAAAAAUUCCUCUAAGGCCAGUCGCAUGGCUCACGCCUGUAUUCCCAGCACUUUGGGAGGCAGAUCACAAGGUCAAGAGAUCGAGACCAUCCUGGCCAACAUGGU
Molecule: small RNA, 757 nt
Filed under: Pongo abelii (Sumatran orangutan)
Lineage: Eukaryota; Metazoa; Chordata; Mammalia; Primates; Hominidae
Description: retained intron
Source: RNAcentral